AUUGAACGCUGGCGGCAGGCCUAACACAUGCAAGUCGAACGGUAGCACAGAGGAGCUUGCUCCUUGGGUGACGAGUGGCGGACGGGUGAGUAAUGUCUGGGAAACUGCCCGAUGGAGGGGGAUAACUACUGGAAACGGUAGCUAAUACCGCAUAACGUCGCAAGACCAAAGAGGGGGACCUUCGGGCCUCUUGCCAUCGGAUGUGCCCAGAUGGGAUUAGCUAGUAGGUGGGGUAACGGCUCACCUAGGCGACGAUCCCUAGCUGGUCUGAGAGGAUGACCAGCCACACUGGAACUGAGACACGGUCCAG
Molecule: ribosomal RNA, 310 nt
Filed under: uncultured Citrobacter sp.
Lineage: Bacteria; Pseudomonadati; Pseudomonadota; Gammaproteobacteria; Enterobacterales; Enterobacteriaceae
Description: bacterial SSU rRNA
Rfam family: Bacterial small subunit ribosomal RNA
Source: RNAcentral